This 252-nucleotide ribosomal RNA is filed under the name uncultured bacterium. RNAcentral's name for it is "partial 16S ribosomal RNA". It matches the Rfam family "Bacterial small subunit ribosomal RNA", at positions 524 to 776 of the family's 1533-position model. The record is from RNAcentral.
UACGGAGGAUGCGAGCGUUAUCCGGAUUUAUUGGGUUUAAAGGGUGCGUAGGCGGAUUUUUAAGUCAGCGGUAAAAUGUCCGGGCUCAACCCGGGCCGGCCGUUGAAACUGGGGAUCUUGAGUGGGCGAGAAGUAUGCGGAAUGCGUGGUGUAGCGGUGAAAUGCAUAGAUAUCGAGAGGAACACUCGUGGCGAAGGCGGGUUCCUGGACAUUAACUGACGCUGAGGCACGAAGGCCAGGGGAGCGAAAGGG